GAUGAACGCUGGCGGCGUGCCUAAUACAUGCAAGUCGAACGAUGAAGCUAGAGCUUGCUCUGGUGGAUUAGUGGCGAACGGGUGAGUAACACGUGAGUAACCUGCCCCGAACUCUGGGAUAACUGCUGGAAGCGGUAGCUAAUACCGGAUAUGACCAAUGAAGGCAUCUUCUGUUGGUGGAAAGAAUUUCGGUUCGGGAUGGACUCGCGGCCUAUCAGCUUGUUGGUGAGGUAACGGCUCACCAAGGCGACGACGGGUAGCCGGCCUGAGAGGGUGAUCAGCCACACUGGGACUGAGACACGGCCCAGACUCCUACGGGAGGCAGCAGUGGGGAAUAUUGCACAAUGGGCGCAAGCCUGAUUCAGCAACGCCGCGUGAGGGAUGACGGCCUUCGGGUUGUAAACCUCCUUUAGUAGGGAAGAAGCGAAAGUGACGGUACCUGCAGAAAAAGCACCGGCUAACUACGUGCCAGCAGCCGCCGUAA
RNAcentral lists this ribosomal RNA (484 nucleotides) under uncultured bacterium. Its description in RNAcentral is "partial 16S ribosomal RNA". It matches the Rfam family "Bacterial small subunit ribosomal RNA", at positions 28 to 523 of the family's 1533-position model. The record is from RNAcentral.